GUGCUGGCUUAGCAGCAUAUAUGCUAAAAUUGGAACAACUUGAAGAUUAGCAUGGCUUUUACACAGACAUAUCAUGAAAUGUUCCAUGUUAAA
Molecule: small nuclear RNA, 93 nt
Filed under: Sorex araneus (European shrew)
Lineage: Eukaryota; Metazoa; Chordata; Mammalia; Eulipotyphla; Soricidae
Source: RNAcentral